GUCUUUUUGAUAAUAAUUUAAAGUCUAACCUGCCCUAUGAUAUAGAUUAAAUGGCCGCGAUAUUUUGAUCGUGCAAAGGUAGCAUAAUCAUUAGUUUCUUAAUUAGGAACUGGAAUGAAAGGUUGAACGAAAAAAAAACUGUCUCAAUUUAAUUUUUUUAGAAUUUUAUUUUUAAGUAAAAAAGCUUAAAUAUUUUUAAAAGACGAGAAGACCCUAUAGAGUUUUAUAUUUAGAUAAUUUUUAAAAAAAUAUAGUAUAUAAUUUUUAUUAUUUAAUAAGUAUUUAGUUGGGGUGACUAAAAAAUUUAAUAAACUUUUUUUAAUUUAAAACAUUUAUAUAUGAAAAAUUGAUCCAUUAAUUAUGAUUAAAAGAUUAAAUUACCUUAGGGAUAACAGCGUUAUUUUUUUUAAGAGUUCUUAUCGAAAGAAAAGUUUGCGACCUCGAUGUUGGAUUAAAAUUUACUUAUGGUGUAGGUGCUAUACAGUUAGGUCUGUUCGACCUUUAAAAUUUUACA
This 514-nucleotide ribosomal RNA is filed under the name Helictopleurus sp. 10 MTM-2009. Its description in RNAcentral is "partial 16S ribosomal RNA". It matches the Rfam family "Bacterial large subunit ribosomal RNA", at positions 1819 to 2600 of the family's 2925-position model. The record is from RNAcentral. Lineage: Eukaryota; Metazoa; Arthropoda; Insecta; Coleoptera; Scarabaeidae.